GGAAGGAUCAUUAAUUAUGCCUCCGGCCUUCUGGUCGAGGAUAUCCAACCAAAGCCCAACUAGUGAAACAAACCAUAACUUGCUUCCCGUGACCUCAGAAGUAAGGGCUCGCUGGUUUCUCUAUGAGAGCCGCUUUCCCCCAAACUCUGGAAUACUCGGGCACCCAAACCCCUGCAAAACUUGUUUGCAAAGAAUUGAAAAUAAAAUCUUUGUCUAGAAACUAGUCUGAACGGAAAUCUUAAAAAAAAAUUGAAUCAAAACUUUCAACAACGGAUCUCUUGGUUCUCGCAUCGAUGAAGAACGCAGCGAAACGCGAUAGUUAAUGUGAAUUGCAGAAUUCAGUGAAUCAUCGAGUCUUUGAACGCACAUUGCGCCCCUUGGUAUUCCGAAGGGCAUGUCUGUUUGAGCGUCAUUUCCACACUCGUCCGCGACCGGUUUGUUGAAAACCGGACCCGCGGUACGGUUUUGGGGCGCCCGUCCGGUCAGAAACCUCUGACCAGCGGGCCUCUUAAAUUUGUGGUCCACUACCGCUUUGGCCUGAACGAACCUGAUAACUUUUUUUAUAAGGAUCGCUGUAAGGACUUGCGCGUUGGCAGAAUCAUAAAACGCAACCUAAGGCUUGACCUCAGAUCAGACAAGGAUACCCGCUGAACUUAAGCAUAUCAAUAAGCGGAGGAAAAGAAACCAACCGGGAUUGCCUCAGUAACGGCGAGUGAAGCGGCAAGAGCUCAAAUUUGAAAUCUGAACCUUUCGGGUUCCGAGUUGUAAUUUGAAGAGGAUGCUUCGGUUGCGGCCUCGGUCUAAGUUCCUUGGAACAGGACGUCGUAGAGGGUGAGAAUCCCGUACACGGCUGCAGGCUUGCUUCCAUGUGUAGCUCCUUCGAAGAGUCGAGUUGUUUGGGAAUGCAGCUCUAAAUGGGUGGUAAAUUUCAUCUAAAGCUAAAUAUUGGCGAGAGACCGAUAGCGCACAAGUAGAGUGAUCGAAAGAUGAAAAGCACUUUGAAAAGAGAGUUAAACAGUACGUGAAAUUGUUGAAAGGGAAGCGCUUGCAAUCAGACUCGCUGCGGUUGAUCAACGUUCCUUCUGGGUCGUGCACUCUGCCGUUUGCGGGCCAGCAUCGGUUUGGUCGGAGGGACAAAGGUUGAGGGAAUGUGGCUCUCUUCGGGGAGUGUUAUAGCCCUCUUCGCAAUGCCUCCUGGCCAGACCGAGGACCGCGCUUUUUGCUAGGAUGCUGGCUUAAUGAUUGUAAGCGACCCGUCUUGAAACACGGACCAAGGAGUCUAACAUCUAUGCGAGUGUUUGGGUGUCAAACCCAUUCGCGAAAUGAAAGUGAACGGAGGUGGGAGUCUUCGGAUGCACCAUCGACCGAUCCUGAUGUCUUCGGAUGGAUUUGAGUAGGAGCAUAGCUGUUGGGACCCGAAAGAUGGUGAACUAUGCCUGAAUAGGGUGAAGCCAGAGGAAACUCUGGUGGAGGCUCGCAGCGGUUCUGACGUGCAAAUCGAUCGUCAAAUUUGGGUAUAGGGGCGAAAGACUAAUCGAACCAUCUAGUAGCUGGUUCCUGC
This 1561-nucleotide unclassified non-coding RNA is filed under the name uncultured fungus. Its description in RNAcentral is "sequence contains 18S rRNA gene, ITS1, 5.8S rRNA gene, ITS2, 28S rRNA gene". The stretch from base 621 to 1561 matches the Rfam family "Eukaryotic large subunit ribosomal RNA", at positions 1 to 961 of the family's 3401-position model. The record is from RNAcentral. Lineage: Eukaryota; Fungi.